GCCACCAAAAGCCUGUGCCAUUCCAAACACUGGGUUGUCUUUGGUGAGCCCCAUUACACAUCAGCUCAUGAAGCAAGAGGCAGAGUGUUGUUGAAUCUGCAGAACAUUAUUUAAGUAGGGAAGUCGAUGUUACUUCCAACUUUUGAUUGCGGUAUUUCCAGUUCUCAUUUCACUUGGUUCCACAAUCCAGGAUAGCAACCUGUAUCCCAUCUAUUUUGCAAAUUCAUACACCAUGGUCAAAAGACAGAAGAUGGAAGAGAAUGGACUGAUCUGUUCAAAUACAUCACACAAUCAAAGAGAAUGUUAUUGGGAUAAAGGAGGCACAGUGAGAUUUGAAAAGGAGAAUUAUUAUAAACCAAUAAAGAAUUCACCCCCAGCAUUUAAAAAAAAUGAUUCUGGAUUGUAAAGCUGUUUUGUUUUAAAAUAUCUUUCUGUAUGAACUUAUUUUAACUGGACUUUUAAAACAUUCUGACCUCUA
RNAcentral lists this long non-coding RNA (478 nucleotides) under Homo sapiens (human). RNAcentral's name for it is "HSALNT0383526". Lineage: Eukaryota; Metazoa; Chordata; Mammalia; Primates; Hominidae. The record is from RNAcentral.